This 69-nucleotide transfer RNA is filed under the name Alloxiphidiopsis emarginata. RNAcentral describes it as "tRNA-Gln". RNAcentral also lists the same sequence under 1 other name. Lineage: Eukaryota; Metazoa; Arthropoda; Insecta; Orthoptera; Tettigoniidae. The record is from RNAcentral.
UAUAUUUAGGUGUAUGAAGCACGAAAGUUUUUGAUACUUUAAGAAGUAGUUUAAAUCUACUGAAUAUAA